UGGGUAAUAGCUCAGUGGUAGAAUGCCUGCUUGGCAUGCACAAGGUCCUGGGUUCAAACCCCAGUGCCUCUC
RNAcentral lists this transfer RNA (72 nucleotides) under Camelus bactrianus (Bactrian camel). It matches the Rfam family "tRNA". Rfam says of the family: Transfer RNA (tRNA) molecules are approximately 80 nucleotides in length. Their secondary structure includes four short double-helical elements and three loops (D, anti-codon, and T loops). RNAcentral also lists the same sequence under 3 other names. The record is from Rfam by way of RNAcentral. Lineage: Eukaryota; Metazoa; Chordata; Mammalia; Artiodactyla; Camelidae.